Molecule: ribosomal RNA, 468 nt
Filed under: uncultured bacterium
Lineage: Bacteria
Description: partial 16S ribosomal RNA
Rfam family: Bacterial small subunit ribosomal RNA
Source: RNAcentral
GACGAACGCUGGCGGCGUGCUUAACACAUGCAAGUCGAACGGAAAGGCCCUGCUUUUGUUGGGUGCUCGAGUGGCGAACGGGUGAGUAACACGUGAGUAACCUGCCCUUGACUUUGUGAUAACUUCAGGAAACUGGGGCUAAUACCGGAUAUGAGCUCCUGCUGCAUGUUGGUCGUUGGAAAGUUUCGGCGGUUGGGGAUGGACUCGCGGCUUAUCAGCUUGUUUGUGUGGUAGUGGCUUACCAAGGCUUUGACGGGUAGCCGGCCUGAGAGGGUGACCGGCCACAUUGGGACUGAGAUACGGCCCAGACUCCUACGGGAGGCAGAAGUGGGGAAUAUUGCACAAUGGGCGGAAGCCUGAUGCAGCAACGCCGCGUGCGGGAUGACGGCCUUCGGGUUGUAAACAGAUUUCGACUGUGACGAAGAGUGAGUGACGGUAAUGGGUAAAGAAGCAACGGCUAACUACGUG